CUUCGGAGAGUUUGAUCCUGGCUCAGGACGAACGCUGGCGGCGUGCCUAAGCUUAUGCAAGUCGAACGCGAACGGCUCCUUCGGGAGCCUAGUAGAGUGGCAAACGGGUGAGUAACGCGUGGGUAACGUACCCUGAUCCUGGGAAUAACCCUCGGAAACGAGGGCUAAUACCGAAUGUGGCGAACGACCGGUUGGUCGCUCGCUAAAGGUGGCCUCUUCUAUGCUGCCGGGUUGGGAUCGGCCCGCGUCCCAUUAGCUAGUUGGUGAGGUAACGGCUCACCAAGGCCACGAUGGGUAGCCGGCCUGAGAGGGUGUACGGCCACACUGGCACUGAGACAAGGGCCAGUCCCCUAUGGGAGGCGCAGGCGGGAAUAGUUCACAAUGGGCGAAAGCCUGAUGACGCGACGCCGCGUGAGCGAAGAAGACCUUCGGGUUGUAAAGCUCUGUCAGGAGGGAAGAAGGCUCUACGGGUUAAUAGCCCGUGGAAUUGACGGUACCUCCAGAGGAAGCCCCGGCUAAAUACGUGCCAGCAGCCGCGGUAAUACGUAUGGGGCAAGCGUUGUCCGGAUUUACUGGGCGUAAAGGGCGCGUAGGCGGUUUGUUAAGUCGAAGGUGAAAUCCUCGGGCUCAACUCGAGAAUUGCCUUCGAUACUGGCAAACUAGAGUGGCGGAGAGGAAAGCGGAACUCUUGGUGUAACGGUGGAAUGUGUAGAUAUCAAGAGGAACACCGGUGGCGAAGGCGGCUUUCUGGACGCACACUGACGCUCAGGCGCGAAAGCGUGGGUAGCAAACAGGAUUAGAUACCCUGGUAGUCCACGCCAUAAACGAUGGGUACUAGGUGUCGGGGGUAUCGACCCCUCCGGUGCCGCAGUUAACGCACUAAGUACCCCGCCUGGGGAUUAUGGUCGCAAGGCUGAAACUCAAAGGAAUUGACGGGGCCCCGCACAAGCGGUGGAGCAUGUGGUUUAAUUCGACGCAACGCGAAGAACCUUACCUGGGCUUGACAUGCUUGGGACAGCGCUGGAAACAGCGUCUCUCCUUCGGGAGCCCUUGCACAGGUGCUGCAUGGCUGUCGUCAGCUCGUGUCGUGAGAUGUUGGGUUAAGUCCCGCAACGAGCGCAACCCUCGUUACUAGUUGCCAUCAGUUCGGCUGGGCACUCUAGUGAGACUGCCGGUGAUAAACCGGAGGAAGGUGAGGAUGAUGUCAAGUCAUCAUGGCCCUUACGCCCAGGGCUACACACGUGCUACAAUGGUCGGCACAAAGGGUCGCUAAGCCGCGAGGUGGAGCUAAUCCCAAAAAGCCGGCCUCAGUUCGGAUUGGAGUCUGCAACCCGACUCCAUGAAGGCGGAAUCGCUAGUAAUCGCGGAUCAGCAUGCCGCGGUGAAUAUGUUCCCGGGGCUUGUACACACCGCCCGUCAUAUCACCCGAGUCGGGGAUACCCGAAGUCCGUGACCCAACCAUUUGGAGGGAGCGGCCGAAGGUGUGCCUGGUAAGGGGGGUAAAGUCGUAACAAGGUAGCCGUACCGGAAGGUGCGGCUGGAUCACCUCCUUUCUA
Molecule: ribosomal RNA, 1556 nt
Filed under: Candidatus Coatesiibacteriota bacterium
Lineage: Bacteria; Candidatus Coatesiibacteriota
Description: bacterial SSU rRNA
Rfam family: Bacterial small subunit ribosomal RNA
Source: RNAcentral